This 208-nucleotide unclassified non-coding RNA is filed under the name plant metagenome. RNAcentral's name for it is "partial contains small subunit ribosomal RNA and internal transcribed spacer 1". The stretch from base 1 to 46 matches the Rfam family "Eukaryotic small subunit ribosomal RNA", at positions 1786 to 1831 of the family's 1831-position model. The record is from RNAcentral.
AAGUCGUAACAAGGUCUCCGUAGGUGAACCUGCGGAGGGAUCAUUACAGAGAACAUCGCCCUCACGGGUGACUCUCCAACCCUAUGUUAUUAUAACCUUUGUUGCUUUGGCGAGCCGCCUCGGCCACCGGCUCUUGCUGGUGAGUGCUCGCCAGAGGACCCAAAAUUCUGAAUAUUAAUGUCGUCUGAGUACUAUAUAAUGGUUAAAA